Molecule: ribosomal RNA, 295 nt
Filed under: uncultured bacterium
Lineage: Bacteria
Description: partial 16S ribosomal RNA
Rfam family: Bacterial small subunit ribosomal RNA
Source: RNAcentral
GAUGAACGCUAGCUACAGGCUUAACACAUGCAAGUCGAGGGGCAUCAGGAAGAAAGCUUGCUUUCUUUGCUGGCGACCGGCGCACGGGUGAGUAACACGUAUCCAACCUGGCCCUUUACUCGGGGAUAGCCUUUCGAAAGAACGAUUAAUACCCGAUGGCAUAAUGAUUCCGCAGUAGGUUUCAUUAUUAAAGGUAUUCCGGUAAAGAUGGGGAUGCGUUCCAUUAGGUUGUUGGUGAGGUAACGGCCCACCAAGCCUUCGAUGGAUAGGGGGUUCUGAGAGGAAGGUCCCCCCA